This 451-nucleotide ribosomal RNA is filed under the name uncultured bacterium. RNAcentral describes it as "SSU rRNA". It matches the Rfam family "Bacterial small subunit ribosomal RNA", at positions 26 to 518 of the family's 1533-position model. The record is from RNAcentral.
AGGAUGAACGCUGGCGGCGUGCCUAAAACAUGCAAGUCAUACGGGCUACCUUCGGGUAGCCAGUGGCAAACGGGUGAGUAACACGUGGGAACGCGCCUUGGGGUGGGGAAUAACGCUGAGAAAUCAGUGCUAAUACCGCAUACGGUCUAACGACUAAAGCAGCAAUGCGCCCCGAGAGCGGCCCGCGACCGAUUAGCUAGUUGGUGGGGUAAUGGCCUACCAAGGCGGUGAUCGGUAGCUGGUCUGAGAGGAUGGUCAGCCACACUGGGACUGCGAACGGCCCAGACUCCUACGGGAGGCAGCAGUUAGGAAUUUUCGGCAAUGGACGAAAGUCUGACCGAGCGACGCCGCGUGGAGGAUGACGCCUUUCGGGGUGUAAACUCCUUUUCUGCGGGAAGAUAAUGACGGUACCGCAGGAAUAAGCACCGGCUAACUACGUGCCAGCAGCCGC